Long non-coding RNA from Apus apus (common swift), 6876 nucleotides. RefSeq lists it as uncharacterized. The transcript is spliced from 4 exons. The record is from RefSeq and is a predicted model, not a curated record. Lineage: Eukaryota; Metazoa; Chordata; Aves; Apodiformes; Apodidae.
AGGGCUUUUAUGGUUUUAAAAACAGAAUUCUGUGAUGGGUGGAAGGGCCUGUGCAGUGUGUUGCAGGUGCUACCUUGGGGCUGUGGAAGAAGGGAUGUAGAAGUUGGGGUUAGGGGAGAGACAAUAAGAUGUGCCUGCUAGACAUGGGAACCUGGGAGGCAGUGGUGCUUUAAAUGCAGUGCUCUUACUGUGUAUGUUGUUGAAAUAAUUUAGGAUCCUUUUCUCUGCAUCUUGUGUAUGUAUCAUCCAACAGCAGGUGAGACUCGGGUAGAAUCAGGGUUGUUGUUUUUUUUUCCUGUGGUUGUGUUUCCCUGACAACUGUAAUUCUACAUUAAAGCAAACACUUUCUUCUUGACAUGAGUUGCUACUAGAAAGGUGCAUUUUAAAUCAUCUGAAAUACAAGAAUAAAUUUUCACCUGAGUCCUCAGCAGCUGGAGGCACAGUUCCUAGGUUCUUUUCAGUGCACUUUCCAAGUACAAUGAAUUGAAUGAUGUAAGUUGGUGGUGUCUCAUGUGUUAUUGUCCUGAAAACUGAACAAUGUCUCUCCUGUCACUGCUGUGCAGUUGCCUGAUCUCUGCUCUUCUCCAGGCACUCUUCAGAAGGCACAAUCAUUUUUCAUGCCUUCUAGUUGAAGUCUCUCCAUUUUUUGCCUUUUGUCAAUUUGUUUGGGCUUUGAAGCUGUUUUGUUGAAAACAGUCUUUGCUUGUCACAUUGUUCCACAUCUGUCCCACUACCAGGGUGAAGUACCUUUCCAACCAGUAGUGAUGGGAUGGGCUGCCACUCCACACCACCAAGAGUAGGAGAGGUGACUUGUGACAAGCUGUUCCCUACCUGAGGAAAUGCAGCUGCUCUGGACCAUGCUUGGAUUUCUCCUCUGCCUGCUCCUGCUGUGCUGUACAUGAGGUGCUUGAGCCAAGCAGCCAGCUUCACAGACAAGGUUGAAGCGUUUCAGACACCCAGAACUAAAGAUAAUGAGAUUAAGAGAGAAAAUACAGAAGAAUGGCAGCAGAGCACUCUCCUGGUGAAGCUCCUCAGGUAGUGCUGCCAGUGGGGCAAGCUCAGCUGGGAUCACGGCCAAGACCACAAUUUGCUUCGGGCUGGACUGAGGAAGAGGAGUACACAAGAGCACAGCUCUGACCUCAAGGAAGAGUGUGAAGAAGCACAGACACCAUCUGUACAGCUGGUAGUGGCAGGUGAUGAACACAGGUACUCGAGUUCUUCAUGGUGAGGAUCAGCGUGGUUUCCAUCUUCUUCAUGCUUCCAUGUCCUUAAGGUGCUCCCCAGCCUUUUCACUGUGGCACUGAGCCUUUUUCAGAUGCAAAGUAGCAGAAAGUAAAGCAGUUGUAGUCGUUGUCAACUCCUUAGAGCAGCUCUGAUGGCUCAGGGGUUUCUUUCAUUCCUGAAAGAAAACAAGAGGCUUGUUAGAAGAAAAUACACAAACUUAUCUCUGUGUAUAAAACAGAACUGCCUGGUGCACAAAGCAGACCUUGUUUCAUUACCUAUGUACUGCUCCCCAUCAGCAUGGCUGUUCAGUAGUGACCUGGCUGACAGCACAGAAACACAUAAAAAGGUCUUGGGAAGCUUGUAGUAAAGCUGAAAUUGGCACUUCCCAAACUUGACAGGUUUAUCUUGCAGGAGAGUAGUUUUGUUGUAGCUGAAACUUGCACUAGCCAUUGAUAGAGACCUUGGAAAGCUUAAAAUAUACACAGUUCUAAUGUAUUUAGUGAUACUGAUCUCUUCAAAUGCAGAGUACUCACCUUUUCUCAGUUUUUAUGCUGGAAAGUCUGACUGGUUUUUCAAGCAGACUAGGAGGGGAUCUUGCCUUUGUGUAAUUUCUCUUCUAAUAUUUAGUUCCUGGACAGUUGGCUGGGUUGCAAUGCAAGGCUGAGAGGUCAGAAAUAAAACCAGUUUGCCAGUGACCUCUGCCUUUUUAUUUUUUUAGCCACACUCCAGGCAUCAUGUCCUUUUAGAACAUGGCAGCUGGUUUUACCCUAUGUCUACUCAGGCUGCUCAGAGUUGUCUUCUUGGUCCUGUCCUCCCAGCUGCUCCUCACAAGGUUGUGCUGCUCUCCAUGCCCUGCAGGCAGCGUCAGCACCUGCCACUGAGCACAACAGGUGGGUGUGAACUGGCCCUCUUGCUCUUUCUCAGGCCUUUCCCUUGGGUUCAGACUUGGCAGCUUUACCUUGUGCUCUGUCACAGGAAUCACUUCUUUAUCCCUAUUUUCUAUUUUUACUGAAAUCAGGCCUUGCAAGUCACCACUCGUGUGUACUUCCCAGGCUGGGGAGUUUCGGGGACGCGGCCCUUAGCGUGUUUUACUAACAGUCUGGAGUCCUUAAGGCUGGUGACUCAGGAAUGCUGCCCACCCAAAACACUCCUUCACCUGAAAGCACAACAGGGAAAACUUCCUGCCCAGCACAGCCAGCCAUGCCCAGAGUGCCUGCUGCCAGGGCAGAGGCUGCUUGUUUUGUUCAAAGUAAUUAUGUGACAGCGAAAACAAUGAAAGGUUAUUGUACUCGUGCUCCACCCAACAAUUACUACUUGCAAUAGACAGUCGAGCUCCUUGGUCUGAAUCAGGCACUUUGCUUUUUGCAGCCAGUUAAUUUACUACAGUGGCUCAUCUCUCAGGUGCUAAUUCGGGCUCAUCCUUUCUUUGAAGUUAAAUGGAUCCUUAGAAAUGUCAGAGACUAAACAGUCAUUGUCCAGGUAAACUUACAUGUUUCCAUAUCUCUCCAGUCCUCUCGAUUACAAUAGUUUGUGAUUUAUUGACAGGUGAGGUAACCUUGUAGUCAUCAGACAGGAGGCCCAGGAUAGGAUACUGAUUCCUGUACCUGUAUUCAAGAGAGUCACAAACCUGUUACCUGAGACCUGUCUCCUCAUAUCCAGAUCACUAACCCUGAUUUCCCACCCAGGCCUUGCAGUCAUUCAUCCCCAAAGGUUUCACUAGGAACUAAAAGGUUACAAUCAUUUAGAUGUCACUUCCCCCCACAAGCCACCCCCUGACUGCUAAUGCAGUGCUGAGUGUUGAAUCCUCCCCGGAUAGGAAAACCUAUCCACUUGUUCCCCUGUCAGCUGAACAGGCCAUGUUAACACAUUUGCAUAACCUCAUUAAUAGAGGCUGUACAAAUCAGAAGGAUGUGUUGUUAGGAAAGGUGAAGAACUACAUUACUUCUUAGUGAUGAUUGCUGUUACACCAGGGGACUGACUGCCUGAUAACUUCUCAUGCUUCAAUCUGAAGAGUUCCUGAGAAAACCAAAAGUAAACAUUCAAAUUGAAUGAUGUUUUCUGAAGAUGAAGUCAGUAAAGUCACAACAAAAUAUUUGCAAAAAUUCCUCUCAAAGAGCAGUCAAAAAAAGUUUGUCCUUCCAAAAGACUGAGAGAAGAACAACAUUCAGUUAAAAAAAAAUCCUAACCCUGACUGCUGGUACAAGGCACUUCCUGCUGUGGUUCCACCUACACAGUAAGUGGAAACUUAAAUAUAAAAAUUCUUAGAAGAUAAGUUGUUUUAUUUUACCUCUUGCUGCUGUUUAAUACAGGCUUCUUUCUCCUCCAACAUGCAUGUCAGUUCAUGCAGCCGUACUUGCAGGUCACUGUUACUUCCUUCUCUCCUGGAUAUAUCUUGCUGGAAUUGGCUUAACUGAGACUGUAACAGAGGGUGUUAGAACAGUCAGGGGUUGGUGUGUCUUGAAGGGCACCUUUCAGUGCCCAUCUAGGACCCCAGAUGGGUUUUGGGGUCUUUCCUUCAUUAAUACCAUGCACAGUAAGACCCAGUGAGUUUCAAACAGGGAGGUGAGUGGCACAGUGCAGUCAGAGGUGCUAACUGGACUGAAUUCUACCCAGUGUCAACAGCCUAGUUUUAUAACUCAAAGGUAACACAACCCUGAACCAGUUGAAUUGGCUUCCAGGCUGGUAAAAUAAGACUGCAAGGAUUAAAGUGAGACAUUUCCUACUUACAGUUCUCCCUGGGAUUCCUGUUUUGUUUGGGUGUCUGUUGGCUAGUUUCAUGCUUUAUCAGGACACCCAAAACUUGUCUUUAGGAAAGGCUGCUAAUCUGAUCAGUCCCCAAUUUACCUAAGGAAUUACGGUGUUUAAAUCACAGUUUUACUACCUUAGUGUCUCUGUACAACGUAACUGCAGCACCAGAAGGUACCUACAAGUAUCUAAGGUGGAUCUUUCCUGACCCUCAGUGAAAAGCAGCUGUUCCCUGCCCUCACAGCUCAGCAAUGCCCUGGGCCACGUUCAACAGCUCACCCGGAGGCUGCGGAUCUCCCGAUCUUUGUCCUCCCUCAGGUUAUUGAUCAUCUCCACGUAACGGCUGGAGAGCUCAUCCGUGGUGGUCUGCAGGGUGGGAUUGGAGCAGCUCUGCAGAAAAUUAAGUAUUUAUGUUAAAACAAGAGCUUGGAUCACUAAUUUUCACACAUGAACAACAGCUGCUGAACACAGAACACGUCUGUCACCUGCAGCCUGAGGUUCUGGAUCUCCUGCUCCAGGGCCCGCUUGCAGUACUCCAGUUCCUUCAGCUGACAAUCCUUCUCCCCCUCGGUGAGCCGCAGGCACAGCAGCUCUUCCUCCAGGCAGCGGCACUUGGCAAUACUGUCCCUGAGCCCUUGCUGCAGAGACCAGAAGUGGGAUGAAUGCAGUGUUCCUUAAGGAAUAACAGGAUCACACACAUACACCAACAUAUUCCAGGCAGCAGUCACUCAGAACACAGGCUAUGGGCCAGUUUUGGGCUGACUGUAAUUACACCGAAAAUGUGUUUUUAGAUUUACCUGCUGCUGACGAUUAUUGUCUCUCAGAGAAGCCAACAUAGUUUCAUAUUCUUUUACUUGAGACUCUUUAAAAGCCAAAUCCUUCUUCAGUAAGACAUUGUCAGUUUCUAAUUUCUGUAAGACAAAAGGGUUUGUGGUCAAUAGCUGUAAACAUUUACAUAUUCAAAAUGCAACAUACUGAGUAAGUGAUGCUUUAGAACUUAGAAAAUCAUCUAUUUUCUUGAAAAAAAACUAGCCCAUCACUGUAGUGUCUGUGGCCUUGUGUUUUGUGGUAAGCACUGAGAUCUUGGACACUGCUCUUUCAACUCUCUCCUAGAAUGAGUUAUUUGGUUAUGAAACAGAAACCAACAAAAACACCCAAACUGAAACCACUUCACUGAACAGACUCCUUGCUCCACGCUGAAGAUGACCCUUCAAACUCGUUCUCAGCUCCCUACACUGCAUUUCACAAGUGUAUGCUGUGAAGUUUCCAGUGGGGCUGAGGGCUUGGGCUGCUGUGGGACGUGUUCCUGCUUUCCCAACAGCAACUCUCCACCUGUCUAGCAACAACUCUCCAUAUCCAGCUGUAUCAGUAGCUGUGGAGCUCCAGCUCCCAAACAGAGCUGCCCACACCCUGGAGAACCACUGGAGUUGCUAAAGCCACCAGCUGACCACAGCUUUCCCAUGAAGCAGGAGACACAGCUUUGUCAGGAGUGACUGGACCUGAGGGCUCCCCAUUCCUGGACAGUGCUGGUAAAGAGGCACUUGGGGUGUCCUCCUUGUCAGAGUUAAAAGCAGAAACAGCUCCAUGCAUUUACACCACUGCAGAGAUACCAGCACCAUACACACCAAUUCAGCCCUUUCCACCUAAUUUCAUUUGGCAGGGUCUUUUCUUCUUUUGAAAGUGUUUGGGUUUUUAGGCUUCAACAAACUGAACCCCUGAAAACCCCUGCUAGAAAGAAACCUGCCCUCACCCACAGGAUGAGUCUUGCAGGUCCUUCACCAGUAAAGCACCCGGGAUUCACAGCUGAAGUGUCUUUGUGCCAGACUUCCUGGUGGCAGGUAAAACCAGAGGCUGAGGCAAGAGGGGCAGAGCAGUGUGACUCACCCCCAGGUCAUCCUGCAGAUGGCAGAGCUCUUCCCGCAGGUUCCUGAACGUGGAGAGCACGAGUCUCAACGAUUUGUCUGAUGUCACUCUCAUCUAGGAAUGGGGAAGAAAAAAUAAAUUACAAAGCUGAUUAAUUGAUGUGCUUUGGUUACACUGUGCUUGACAGAGGGUAGAAUAGAAACCUGCUGUUGGAGCUCCUGCUGGGCCUGACACAUCUGCACUUUGCCAGUGGCUUCAGGUUUUACUUACUGUCUUGUAACACAGGACAAGAUUUUUUAAGUGGAAGGAACAAGAGAGGGAAGAACAGCAUUUGUACACUAAUAAAGGGAAAAAUUAAUUGUGUUAAUAUUGCACAGUCAUCUUUUGAGCAUUUAGAGCCUUGUGACUUACAUGGAUGUAAAGAAAUCACUGCCCUACCUGAGAAGCCACAGAGGAAUGAGUCCGAUCUGGCAGAGCAUGCUUUCAAGGGCAAGAGGAUUUAUUUAAAAAUUUUGAAAAAUUAAAAUAAAUUUUUAAAAGAUCCAUAACAACCAACUCCUCCCUUGAAAAGGAAAACAAGAUUCCAAACAUUACAGGAGGCAACUGGUUGCAAAAGAAAGGCAGCAAUGCUCGACAGCCCAACACUGUUCUUUUCAUGCAUGUGUAUUAAUUCACAUUAAAAUACAAAUUGGUUCAUUUCAUGAUACAUUACUAACAUUUGAAAGACUAAAAAUUUACCUUGAAAGAAAUCACAACAUUUUUCAAAUCUUUGACUCAUCUGGAAGGGCUGAAUAUUCUACACACAAUAGGUUUUGGUUUUUUUACACUCUGCACGAAAAUCAAGCCCCCUGUUUCUCUUCCUCUGAUACUGUCCCUUAUUUGUUGACCCUCUGAAUUGAAGAAAGCCACCAAGAUCUCCACUGAUAUGGUGAUUAACCCUUGUCCUAUUUUUUUAUCCUCACUGGUGCUAUUAUGCGACUCAGGCUUCAAAAAUAACAUUUCUCACCUGUUUGAUUUUUAAUUAAACUACAGUUUCAGUUUUUA